This 706-nucleotide ribosomal RNA is filed under the name Olpidium brassicae. Its description in RNAcentral is "eukaryotic LSU rRNA". The stretch from base 258 to 411 matches the Rfam family "5.8S ribosomal RNA". Lineage: Eukaryota; Fungi; Olpidiomycota; Olpidiomycetes; Olpidiales; Olpidiaceae. The record is from RNAcentral.
UCGGAUUGGAGGUAGGUUGCGGGCAACAGCAACCCAGCUUCCGAGAAGUUGGUCAAACUUGGUCAUUUAGAGGAAGUAAAAGUCGUAACAAGGUUUCCGUAGGUGACCUGCGGAAGGAUCAUUAUAAAAAAGUCGGGCUUGGGUUUAAUCCAAGACCUGCCCCCAAAAGGGACCUUUUGUGCACUGUAAAAUUUUUUCACUUAAGAAUUGUCUGAUUGAUAAUUGUACCGAAAGGGACAAGAAUUUUAAUCUAAAACAACUUUUAACAAUGGAUCUCUUGGCUCUCGCAUCGAUGAAGAACGCAGCGAAAUGCGAUAAGUAAUGUGAAUUGCAGAAUUCAGUGAAUCAUCGAAUCUUUGAACGCAUAUUGCGCUCUCUGGCAUUCCGGAGAGCAUGCCUGUUUGAGUAUUGGCCUAAAUGAGAGUCUUCCUUUAAAGAUAUAAAAAAGAACGUUAAGAACCCUCAGUUGAGACUUCUCGACAAUUCAUUGCCGAGUGUUUUAAAAUGCAAUAGUACCGCCACGUUUGCGAACUUGGAGUAAUAUGUGAGCCUGAAAAGGUGACCUCUAUUCUCCUCGGACCACGUAGACCUGUUAAGCGGGAAGUUUUUGAAUGCUGAAUUAUGGGAGACGGUGUUCAAUUGUUCGAGUAACGACGAACGAAAUAAACUCAAUCUCAAAUCAGGUAGGAUACCCGCUGAACUUAGC